GCAUAAAAGGUCGAGUUUGGGAAUACAACAACUGUUUUUAUUGAGCCAGUGUCGUCCAGUUACUGGGGGAAUGGGCUAUAUUCACUAAGCAGCACCAUGUCCAGCUCGAGAGAAUUUCGGUGGAGAUAUUCAGUCUCAGGAUUGCAGCUCCGCUACAAAUAUGUUUAGCACUAUUAUUAGAUAAGUUUCCAAUAACUAAACUAUAGACUCCAUAAUUUCCUCUAACUUAGAUAGCCAUUGCUGUUUAGAGUAAAUGCCCCAAAGUGGACUUCUUGUAUUUUCAUACCAGUAGGGAAGUGACAUGAAGCAGAACAUUUUCAAAUGUGAACUGUGGUGCCUCAAAAAUGUGAAUGUUGGUAUCUCUGACUAUCUGCCAAUAGGAUUUAAAAGUCCUACUAGAUGUUUUGCAUAGAACCCACUUUCACACCAACUAGGUGAAACAGGUGGGAAAAUCCUGCACAAACAUUCUGGAAUACAGUACCAAAGAGAGAGUACUUUGUAGCUAAU
This is a non-coding RNA of Pelobates cultripes (western spadefoot toad), 507 nucleotides long. NCBI's taxonomy places the organism in Eukaryota, Metazoa, Chordata, Amphibia, Anura, Pelobatidae. The record is from the annotation of a GenBank genome assembly.